RNAcentral lists this ribosomal RNA (491 nucleotides) under uncultured bacterium. RNAcentral describes it as "partial 16S ribosomal RNA". It matches the Rfam family "Bacterial small subunit ribosomal RNA", at positions 29 to 506 of the family's 1533-position model. The record is from RNAcentral.
AGUGAACGCUGGCGGUAGGCCUAACACAUGCAAGUCGAACGGCAGCACAGUAAGAGCUUGCUCUUACGGGUGGCGAGUGGCGGACGGGUGAGGAAUACAUCGGAAUCUACUUUUUCGUGGGGGAUAACGUAGGGAAACUUACGCUAAUACCGCAUACGACCUACGGGUGAAAGCAGGGGAUCUUCGGACCUUGCGCGAUUGAAUGAGCCGAUGUCGGAUUAGCUAGUUGGCGGGGUAAAGGCCCACCAAGGCGACGAUCCGUAGCUGGUCUGAGAGGAUGUUCAGCCCCAUGGAAACGGAGACACGUCCCAGAUCCUUAGGGAAGGCAGCGUUGGGGAAUAUUGGCCAAGGGGGGCAAGCUGGUCCCAGCCAUCCCGCGUGGUUGAAGAAGGCUUCGGGUUGUUAAAGCCCUUUUGUUGGGAAAGAAAAGCAGCAGUUUAAACCCCCGCUGUUCGGACGGUACCCAAAGAUUAAGCACCGGCAAACUCCUU